AUUCAGGCUGUUCACUACGCUACCCGGUAUUGGCCAUGACGACCUUGGGGACCAGCAGUCAGACUGUGACUGAAUAUGUUGUUCGAGUUCCAAAGAACAACCUCAAGAGGUACAAUAUCGUGGCUUUUAAUGCCGCUGACAAAGUCAACUUCUCCACUUGGCAUCAGGCCAAGAUGAAACGGGAUCUGAGCAGCAAGAAGCUCUAUCAGGAGGAAGAGAUGCCAGAAUCUGGGGCUGGCAGUGAGUUUAAUCGGAAGCUCCGGGAUGAGGCCAGGAGCAAGCAUGGCCUUCUCAAAACCUUCAAGGCUGAAGACCAGCCCUGGCUACUCAAAGUCAAUGGCAAAACAGGCAGAAGGUUCAAGGGAAUGAAGAGGGGUGGGGUGACAGAAAACGCCUCGUACUACAUCUUCAUCCAGUGCCCCGACGGGGUCUUCGAAGCCUUCCCCGUGCACAGCUGGUACAACUUCACUCCUCUGGCGCGGCACCGGACACUCACGGCCGAGGAGGCUGAGGAGGAAUGGGAAAAGAGGAACAAAGUCCUGAACCACUUCAGCAUCAUGCAACAGCGGCGGCUGAAGGAUCAGGACCACAGUGAGGAUGAAGAUGAGCAUAAAGAGAAGAGCCGGAAGAAGCCCAGUGAGCUCCGCAUCCACGACCUGGAGAUGAGCUCUGAUGACAGCAAUAGCAGUGGGGAGGAAGGAGAAAAGGUCCCCAAGAGCAAGAAGAAGGCAGGUCCCUCCAGGGGGGGCAAGAAGAAGAAAAAGGACUCUGAUGAUGAGGCCUUUGAGGACAGCGAUGAUGGGGACUUUGAGGGCCAUGAGGUGGACUACAUGUCAGAUGGCUCCAGCAGUUCUGAGGAGGAGGCAGUAGGGAAAGCCAAAGUGGUCCAGCAGGAGGAGGAUGGCCCUAAAGGUAUUGAUGAGGAAAGUGAAAGCAGUGAGGAGAGUCAGUUGGAGAAGCCCCCCGAGGAGGAGGAGAAGAAGGAAGAAGAUAAGAAGGCCCCCAACCCGCAGAAGAGGAGGAGGAAAGGAGACAGGAGCGAGGAGUCAGACAACUCCGAGGAGAGCGACAUCGACAACAAGGUGACCUCGGUCCUCUUCAUGACCAAGAAGAAGACCCCCCCAAAGAGGGAGCGGAAGGCCUCAGGCAGCAGCUCCAGGGGCAACAGCCGCCCGAGCACUCCCAGCUUGGACAGCGGCAGCACGUCCUCCACCCUGCGGGCAGCCUCUAGCAAGCUGGGGCAAGGGAAGCCGCAGACAGAACCCAGUGAUACUCCCCCCGCCAAGCGCCUGAGGCUGGAUGCCGGGCCCCAGAGCAUCGCUAGGAAAUCCACCCCCCAGCCUCAGUCCGGCAAGUCCAUGUCCAGCAGUGAUGAUGUGCAGGUGAUAGAAUGCAAAGUCAGGCGCUACCUGAUCCAAAAGCCCAUGACCGCCAAGGACCUGAUGAAGAAGUUCCAGACCAAAAAUACAGGGCUCAGCAGCCACCAGACAGUCAACAUGCUGGCCCAGAUCUUGAAACGCCUCAAACCGGAGCGCAAGAUGAUCGAUGACAAGAUGCACUUCUUCCUUAAGGAAGAGAAGCGGCCUCCGGCACACAGCAGGGGCAAUAAAAGCUGCUAG
RNA transcript from Sarcophilus harrisii (Tasmanian devil), 1619 nucleotides. It is a transcript of the gene named general transcription factor IIF subunit 1 pseudogene, with no coding region annotated. The record is from RefSeq and is a predicted model, not a curated record. The transcript has a single exon. Lineage: Eukaryota; Metazoa; Chordata; Mammalia; Dasyuromorphia; Dasyuridae.